AUGGGUGCUAUGCAAGCUCGAGUCAUGGCGCAAAAAGGCGCAGCCCUCGCAGACGCACACAUACCUUUAUAUACACUAUUCAUGGUUCUGUACAUACGCUCAGGUGAUCAGAUCUCUAGGAGGCAUGCAGCCUGCACGUGCCCAGAGAACUCCGGCGGUGCGGGGGCGCGUGCCCAGGACGCGGCCUUGCCGGCCUCGUCGCGCAGCAUGUACACGGUCUGGUCGCCUCCGUGGCAGCCUGAGCCGAUCACCACGACGCGUCCGCCGGGGAUGGCGGAGACUGUCGAGGCGGUACGGGCGUCCUCCGGCACGGACGCCACCGUGCGCCAGCCCGCCGAGGCACCGGCGUCGCGAGCCACGAGGUUCCCGUCGCGAAGCAUGUACAUGCGCUCCGCUCCCGGCGCCACGCAGCAGGUUCUCGGGCACGUUCCGUCCUCUAGCAGGCUCUCCUGGACGGUGGCCCAGGCCGCCGUCGCCGGGUCGAAGGCCUCGGCGGAGCCAGCGAACCGCCCCUGCGCCUGCGUCGGGUACCCGCCGACGACCAGGAACCUGCCGCCGACGCAGAGCCCGCGCGGCUCGUCGCGCUCCUCUGCCAUGUCCGGGAGCGCGGCCCACGCGUCGGCGUCCGGGUCGUAUGCCAGCGCCGACCGGAGCGCGUUCUUCUCCUCGUCGUGCCCGCCGGCGACGUACACGACCCCGCGGACGGCCGCGGUGGCGAAGAAGGACCGGCGCGGGCCCGGCAUGGGCGCCCCGCGCCGCCACGCGCCUGUCAAGAAGUCGUACACGUACACCGAGUCGGUCGGCGCCCACGACUCCGGGUCCCACCCGCCGACGACCACCAGCCGCUUCCUCCCCUGCGCGCCGUCCACCGCAGCCACCUGGCAGAACAGGGGCAGGCUCCCGGUCGUGCCGGGCAGCACCGGGAGCGGAGCCCACCGCCCCUCCACGGGGUCCAGCAGAACCAUCCUGUAG
This 972-nucleotide ribosomal RNA is filed under the name Triticum aestivum (bread wheat). Its description in RNAcentral is "partial small subunit ribosomal RNA". Lineage: Eukaryota; Viridiplantae; Streptophyta; Magnoliopsida; Poales; Poaceae. The record is from RNAcentral.